CCCUUAGAUGUUCUGGGCCGCACGCGCGCUACACUGAUGCAUUCAACGAGUCUAAAACCUGCUCUGAUAGGGGUGGGUAAUCUUUUGAAUGUGCAUCGUGAUUGGGAUAGAUGAUUGCAAUUUUUCAUCUUCAACGAGGAAUUCCUAGUAAACGCGAGUCAUCAGCUCGCAUUGAUUACGUCCCUGCCCUUUGUACACACCGCCCGUCGCACCUACCGAUUGAAUGUUUCGGUGAAGAUUCCGGAUAGGACUUUUUUGAUUUAUUUCAAUUUUGUCUUAAAAGCUAUCUAAACCUCAACAUUUAGAGGAAGGUGAAGUCGUAACA
RNAcentral lists this ribosomal RNA (325 nucleotides) under uncultured eukaryote. Its description in RNAcentral is "partial 18S ribosomal RNA". It matches the Rfam family "Eukaryotic small subunit ribosomal RNA", at positions 1470 to 1796 of the family's 1831-position model. The record is from RNAcentral.